AAGAUCUGGGAGGUGGAUACAUAAGCCACCUGAGAUUCUCAGAGGAUUGGGGCAUCACCAGGAGAAGACACCAGGACAACAAGGACUGCACUGCCUCGUAAAAGUGAAUCUAACCAGAUCUCAAGAUGUGUAGCUUGGAUUGUGUUGCAAACACGUUCAGGACGGUUUUCAGGCUGUUGAAGGGCAUAUUUGACAAGGCAAAAGAAGUCGCAGAGCAUCCCUUUGAAGCACCAAAGAAGCCCCCAAGUGAAAAGGGAGACUGAAGCUAAAGACGGCAUGUGCUUAUUUCCUACUCUUGUCUCCUUCUCCUCCAACACUUUGGAUGGCAGGGAUAUGCCCUUUAUUGUCAAGGGUCUCUGUGUUACAUUGACACCACAUUCCAAAUAAGAAUAAAUUUUAUUUGGAUCUGA
Molecule: long non-coding RNA, 410 nt
Organism: Anolis sagrei ordinatus
Lineage: Eukaryota; Metazoa; Chordata; Lepidosauria; Squamata; Anolidae
Source: RefSeq, a predicted model, not a curated record